GAAAUAAUUUUUUUUUUUGUGUAAUCUACAUCAGAAGAGAGCUACACACCUACCAACACAUACUUUAAGCUGAUGUAUACAUCAUUAUAAUAGAUAUUAGCAGUGCGAAAUUUUAUUAAAGAAUUGAGGAAAAAGGAAUUUGCUGAAUAGACAAGCCGAAUUUAGGAAAUUCGACCAUUGCUAUGAGCUUUUCUUUGGCAUACAGCACGCGUAGAAAUCGAUUCAUGUGGCCAAUGAUGAAGCUUUCAAUAGAGUUGUGUCGACCACGUGUUCAACCAAUGUUAAUUCAUAGCAGCGCCUUUUAUAACCUAAAUUCGGUAUUGAUCAUAUACGAAAACUAGUUUUAAAUUGAAAAUAAAAAUGAAAAGUAAAAAGUGGGAGGAAUUGGAUAUUCCUCUAAGCGAUGCUGUUUUAAAAACAGUUAAACAAUUGAAUUUUUCAUCCAUGACACCAAUUCAGGCUGCAUGUAUACCAAUUUUAUUACAAGGAAAAGAUGUAGCUGCAGAAGCUGUUACAGGCAGUGGGAAGACACUAGCGUUCCUUAUUCCAAUGUUAGAAUUGCUUCAGAAAAGAGAGGAAAAAUGGAAGAAAAUGGAAAUCGGUGGAAUCAUAAUUUCUCCUACUCGUGAAUUAGCCACACAGAUAAACGAAGUUUUAGCACAAUUUCUUGAAAGAAUUUCAAGUUUAAAGCAAAUACUUCUUGUCGGUGGUACUACAGUUGACGAGGAUAUUGCAAAACUUCGAGAAGGCUGCAAUAUUAUUGUAGCCACCCCUGGUAGAUUGGAAGACAUAUUAUCUAAUUGCAAGGAUGUUAACUUAGCUGCUAGUGUGAAGUCCUUGGAACUUCUAGUGCUGGAUGAAGCUGAUAGACUUCUUGAUCUAGGAUUUUCAGUAACCCUAAACACAAUUUUAAGUUUCCUACCAAGAUUGCGCAGAACCGGAUUAUUCUCAGCAACACAAACUAAACAAUUGCAACAGCUUAUCAGAGCUGGCUUAAGGAACCCAGUAUUAGUGACAAUCAAAGAAAAAUCAAGUGUAUCAACUCCAUUGAAUCUGAUCAAUAACUAUGCCAUAACAAAUGCUGAAACUAAACUUGCUCAAAUGCUUGAAUUCAUAAAGAUAAAAGGAAUAAAUUUAAAGUACAUGAUAUUCUUCUCCACUUGUGCAUGCGUUGACUAUUUCAGUUAUGUCAUCAAAGCGAUAUUACCAUACUCAAACGUAUUUGCGUUACAUGGAAAAAUGAAGAAUAAACGAUACAAGGUAUUUGAACAGUUCCGUGCUACGGAAAGUGGUCUUCUCUUAUGCACAGAUGUAAUGGCUCGUGGUAUUGAUAUACCUGAAGUGGAUUGGGUACUGCAAUACGAUCCCCCUUCGACAGCUAGUAGUUUCGUUCAUAGAUGUGGAAGGACUGCCAGAAUUGGCAAUGAAGGCAAUGCUCUAUUAUUGCUACUAGAAUCCGAAGACGCAUAUAUUGAAUUCAUCAAGAGGAAUCAAAAAGUAGAAUUAUCAAUGAUACAAUUGAAGGAACCUUCUUUAGUCGAAAAGUGUUUAAAAACAAUGAGGAAUCUUCAAAAAAAGGAUCGAGUCCUUUUCGAUAAAGCAAAUAGGGCUUUUGUAUCAUACAUACAAGCAUAUAAUAAACACGAAUGCAAUCUAAUACUGAGGCUGAAGGAUCUCGAUUUAGGAAAAGUAGCAAUGGGUUUUGGUUUAUUAAAAAUGCCAAAAAUGCCAGAACUGAAAGGACGAGAUGUCUCGUCUUUUCAGGAUCCUCAGAUAGAUAUUAACACUCUGGCCUACAAGGACAAACAACAAGAAUUAGUUAGACAAGAAAAGUUAAAUACUUACAGAGAAACCGGUAUUUGGCCCGGUAAGCACAAACGUAAACAGAAACAGACAGAAGCUUGGUCUGAGGCUAAGCAGAAAAAAGUAGAAAAAAAAGAAAAACGUAAUAAAAGGAAAGAAAAAAAGGCUUUGGCUGGUCCUGUGAAGAAGAAACGAAAAAAGACUAGCAAGGAGGAUCUGGCAGAAUUAGCAAAAGACAUAGCUUUGAUAAAGAAAUUCAAAAGGAAAAAGAUUUCUCAACAAGAGUUUGAUGAAGCCUUUGGUGUCAAAUAAAACACUAUGACUCUAUUUACAACAAGUGACAUUUAAGUACAACUGUACCUCGAGUUAUAUUUCGUUUGUAUUAUUGAGAAAUUAACAAGUGAACUAACAAACAUGUGGCAAAACGAUUCAGCUAAAAAUUAUGUUGGCUACAAAGAUGUCAUCAUUGGAAACGUGGCUCUACUACAUAUAACAAGGAAUAUGUCAAACAUAAAAUCAGUG
Cephus cinctus (wheat stem sawfly) is the source of this 2325-nucleotide RNA transcript. It is a transcript of the gene named probable ATP-dependent RNA helicase DDX55 homolog, with no coding region annotated. Lineage: Eukaryota; Metazoa; Arthropoda; Insecta; Hymenoptera; Cephidae. The transcript is spliced from 8 exons. The record is from RefSeq and is a predicted model, not a curated record.